UAUCCGUUGGUGAACCAGCGGAGGGAUCAUUACCGAGUUUACAACUCCCAAACCCCAUGUGAACCUUACCAAACGUUGCUUCGGCGGGAUGCCCCGGGCGCGGGCCGCAAGGCCUCAGCCCCGGAACCUGGCGCCCGCCGGAGGCCCAAACCAAACUCUUGUUUUUGUAGAAUCUUCUGAGUGGCCUUUUAGGCAAAAAAUGAAUCAAAACUUUCAACAACGGAUCUCUUGGUUCUG
Molecule: unclassified non-coding RNA, 237 nt
Filed under: plant metagenome
Description: partial contains small subunit ribosomal RNA, internal transcribed spacer 1, and 5.8S ribosomal RNA
Source: RNAcentral